This 466-nucleotide ribosomal RNA is filed under the name uncultured bacterium. RNAcentral's name for it is "partial 16S ribosomal RNA". It matches the Rfam family "Bacterial small subunit ribosomal RNA", at positions 28 to 507 of the family's 1533-position model. The record is from RNAcentral.
GAUGAACGCUGGCGGCGUGCUUAACACAUGCAAGUCGAACGAUGAAGCCCAGCUUGCUGGGUGGAUUAGUGGCGAACGGGUGAGUAACACGUGAGUAACCUGCCCUUAACUCUGGGAUAAGCCUGGGAAACUGGGUCUAAUACCGGAUAGGAGCGUCCACCGCAUGGUGGGUGUUGGAAAGAUUUAUCGGUUUUGGAUGGACUCGCGGCCUAUCAGCUUGUUGGUGAGGUAAUGGCUCACCAAGGCGACGACGGGUAGCCGGCCUGAGAGGGUGACCGGCCACACUGGGACUGAGAGACGGCCCAGACUCCUACGGGAGGCAGCAGUGGGGAAUAUUGCACAAUGGGCGAAAGCCUGAUGCAGCGACGCCGCGUGAGGGAUGACGGCCUUCGGGUUGUAAACCUCUUUCAGUAGGGAAGAAGCGAAAGUGACGGUACCUGCAGAAGAAGCACCGGCUAACUACGUG